Molecule: ribosomal RNA, 272 nt
Filed under: uncultured bacterium
Lineage: Bacteria
Description: partial 16S ribosomal RNA
Rfam family: Bacterial small subunit ribosomal RNA
Source: RNAcentral
UACAGAGGUCCCCGAGCGUUGUUCGGAUUCACUGGGCGUAAAGGGUGCGUAGGUGGCAUGUUAAGUUUGAUGUGAAAGCUCAGGGCUCAACCCUGAAAUGGCAUUGAAUACUAGCGUGCUGGAGGUUUGGAGGGGGGACUGGAAUUCUCGGUGUAGCAGUGAAAUGCGUAGAUAUCGAGAGGAACACCAGUGGCGAAGGCGAGUCCCUGGACAACACCUGACACUGAGGCACGAAAGCCGGGGGAGCAAACAGGAUUAGAUACCCUGGUAGU